NNNNNNNNNNNNNNNNNNNNNNNNNNNNNNNNNNNNNNNNNNNNNNNNNNCAUCCUCCUUUGAGACGAGAACAGCAUCUGCAGUCUCCUACAAGAGAGAUCUUGUCUAUCUUUGUCUCCAGCACACUGAAUGAUUAAUUGUCUUUCUAGAGCAACCCUGGAAUGGUCCCCAGCCACGGAUUCAGUCCCAGAUCUUACUUCUUUGACAACCCUCGAAGAUACGAUAGUGAUGAUGACCUUGCCUGGAACAUUGCCCCUCAGGGACUUCAGGGAAGUUUUGCUCCAGACUACUAUGACUGGGGACAACAAACCAACAGCUUCCUGGCAUCAGUGGGAACUUUCCAACCAGACCCAGUUUUGGAUCCUGACAAACCAGGCCAUGGGUAGUAUCAGUCAACAAUUCUGUGGAAGAUUCCUCAGUGAAGACCUUCAAAGAGAUUAACUUCAUGACAGCUGAAUUUUUGUAAGGCACUUUUCCUUAAGAAAUCGGACUUGAUUUUUGUUAUAGGUUUCUAAUGGCUCCUAGGACUAAGCAAUAAUUUAGAUUGAUAAAAUCUUAUUUUAGUACUAAAAAGUGAGCCUGGAUGCCUUUUUUAGUGGAUAUAAUUUAAACUUUAAAAAAAUACUCUGUACUUUUAUAAAGAUGUAUUUUAUAUAACUUAAAUAAUAAUGCUAAAAUAUAUACUAGGAUUUUUUGAGAAUGUUAUUGCAAUAUAUGUUUGUAGUUUGCACGGACUUUUAUGCAUAAUCCACUUUAAAAGUCCAUAGUACAUGGUCUGAUGGUUGUUUCAGGCUUUCGGACUAACGUAUCUUCAGAUCCUUACCUCUUCAGGCCGUGCAGGGGCUGAGCCGGGUAGAUUCAAAACUCAGCUGACAUCUAGAAAGCCAGUUUCGACUCCAGUGUUAAGUUAUACUGUAGCAGAUUAUCAACAGACUACAGACAAGGUAACAGGGUCCUUCCUUUGAGUUCUUUAAGGUCGAGAUGGUUGUUGUCUCAAAGAAUUUAAAUUUUGACAAAAAUGUGGUACUCCUUUGAGCAGGGCCCUGAUGUGUACCCUUCAGCCAUAAGUGGAUCCCUUAGAAGCAUGGAUAGAGCUAACCCACUGCUAAGCCUCCUCUGCUGUAUUCAGAACCUUUGCCUAGUUUUUCAGCCCAGGGAAAUCUAGGCUCCGUUACCUCAGUCCUUCCCAGGACGUCACCUUUCCCAAAUCACAGACCAUUCAUUCCAGUCCAGGAGCGCAGGACAGGUUCUCCGCCCUCCAUCCGGCAGGCUGUAUGCAGUCCUCAGUCUUCCUGCACUUUCCCACGUAUUUAAAAUAAUGGCCUGCAUUUCUAAGUAGCUCUGAAAUCAGGCUACUGGCAAUAGCAGCUUUAAAACGGGAGUUGCUCUCUGGUACCCAGGAGCACGAUUCCUGUCCAUCGGCCACGUGAAGAGGCACGUUCCAGACGACGGCUUCAGUGAACUCAGCUGGGACUCCAGCCCUGGUGCAAGUCUAAAACCUCCAAGAUCUAUCCAGGUACCACUGCCUACGAUGGGAAACUGUGUCAGGGAGGUUAAAUGCUCGGAUAUUCCGUAAAACAGAAGGUCCUGGAGGAAGGAUGGUUACCAGCGAGAUGUGACCUGCUCUGCCUAGGAAAUCUCACCUUUCGGGACAGGAGGAGGAGGGGCAGACGGACAGACAGUCAUGCUCUGCCUUCAGGAUGAAGCCCAUUGCCAGUAUCUCUUAUUUCUCAUUAUGGUCUUCAGAAAGGAUUUCUCUCUGGGCAUUGAUUUCACAGAAAUUAAGUCUACUUCUCUUGAUGGUGAUUAAAAUUGCCAUCUCAAGUUGUAAAAAAUGGCUGUGACUGGGUUUUUCAUUUGUACUGAAUGCCUUUGUCCUGCGUCAUCCAACACAGUAGUGUUCUUGCCUUUCAGUAUCUGGAAGAACUGGGGUCACAUGUCACUGAAAAUAGACUUUCAGAGAAAAUUCUAGACUGAAGCAAAAUUUGCACUGAUUAUUUGGGUUGCCUUAAAAUAUUAUAAGUUGUUAUUAUUCUAAAUAGCUUUAAGAACACCCUUACUUGUCAUGCUAUCUUUGUUACUAGUACUUAGAAUUUAAAGGCAGACCAAGCAUAGACUUAAAAACUUUAAAUCAUGCUUUCAGAAAGUACUUCAAUUAGGUCAUUCAAGGGUAGGUAUAUUUUAAAAAAUACAGUAAUAAAAAAAAUCACUCAAAUCAUCCAAUUAUUAUACUCAUGCUGUAUCAACACAUUAUCCUGUUAUUACUGGCAGGAAAGUCGCAAUAACCAACAUUAAGUGAUAAAGGCCAUAAUCUAUUUUUAUGAUAAAGCUGCUACUAUUUGAACUAUCUUCCUACUGGAAAGGAUAAAAAUGUUCUAAGAGCUUAUUUUUCUCUUUCCCUUUUUAAAAAGUUUUGCUUAAGCACAAGUAUUGUAAACACAUCUAGAAUAUUAAUAGGAUUGUAUUAAUAUUUUUCUCAUAGUAAAUGACCAUGUGUACCCUGUGAAACUUUAUAGGUAUGGUAGGUAUGAAAAGGGAAAUUAAAAUUUCUUCAAUUUCCUAAUUGUGUUACAGUGUUAAAUAGGUUCACUAACAAAACUUCUCCUUAAUGUGAAAUAUUAAAGGCCCAAAGAAGGCAAAGAAAAGGGAUUACUGGUUAUAAAACACAGAAAACGUCCUGUUUUAAAGCAAAAUAAUGAAAUUAAAACCUUGGUCAAUUGAAAGUUAAAAAUAUAUGGGGAAGAGGCAGUGUCACUGGAAAUUUUGUACUAAGUCUGAUUCAACACUAAAGGCUGCAUAGGAGUAUUUCUGGACACGUGCUGGAAAUAGGCAUAAAAGUGGUCUUCUUCUGCAGGUAAUUGUCUAAAAACGCCAACUGAUUUGUGUAGAUAUCUUGCACUGGCUCUUUCUUUCUACAAUUAACCCAUUUAACUGAGCCACUGAUUACAACAUCCAGAGUAUGUUGUACUCUGUGGACUGUAAGGAGUUUUUUUUUUUUUUUUUUUUUUUUUACUUUUACAGUACACACAUCAUGGUUAUGCCAAUUCUUUCUUGGAUGCAUCAGGUGUGUUGUUAAAACUAUGCUGGUUACCAUGUUUAGUGGUGUAGAUCAUCAGGCACAUUCACUAGUGUGUCCCCAAAUAUCCUCUUUUCUCAAAAUCCAAUAGAACUGUUCUUUAAUUCCUUGAAUAUUUAAUUCCUAUUAAGAAGAGAACAAGCAUUACUAAAUUCCAGAGCAUGAAAAGUGCUUAGAGAAAAAGGUUCUCAUUUAUAUUUAUAUAGUAGAUAUUACUAGAAUUUUUAUUUUUCAGAAUGAAUCUUUUUUUAAUAAGGGUAAACUUACAUGAGAAUUAAAUGGGUCUAAAUAUUUGUUUUUUUAGCAUUUCCAAGUGGAGAAACUUUAUUAAAAAUUCUUCACUUUAGAGUACUGUAUGAUAAAAUCUAGACAAGUGUAGGUCUGAUUGAAGACCUAUCUAAUACACUUAUCCAUUUUUUGUCCUGGGGAGAAUUUUAUUUAAAAAAAAUUCUAACUGUGCAUAAUGCUAUUUAGGACUUCUCAUCGUCCAGAGGAACUGCUAGAAAGGAUCAGGCUAAAAAGUGGAGUUCUCAUCAAAAACUCUAAUCCAAGUGAGGAAACAUUUUUUUUUUUUUUUUUUNNNNNNNNNNNNNNNNNNNNNNNNNNNNNNNNNNNNNNNNNNN
RNAcentral lists this long non-coding RNA (3699 nucleotides) under Mustela putorius furo (domestic ferret). Its description in RNAcentral is "lncRNA (ENSMPUG00000031718.1)". Lineage: Eukaryota; Metazoa; Chordata; Mammalia; Carnivora; Mustelidae. The record is from RNAcentral.